GCUUGCUGGGGGGAUUAGUGGCGAACGGGUGAGUAACACGUGAGUAACCUGCCCUUGACUCUGGGAUAAGCCUGGGAAACUGGGUCUAAUACCGGAUAUGACUCCUCAUCGCAUGGUGGGGGGUGGAAAGCUUUUGUGGUUUUGGAUGGACUCGCGGCCUAUCAGCUUGUUGGUGGGGUAAUGGCCUACCAAGGCGACGACGGGUAGCCGGCCUGAGAGGGUGACCGGCCACACUGGGACUGAGACACGGCCCAGACUCCUACGGGAGGCAGCAGUGGGGAAUAUUGCACAAUGGGCGAAAGCCUGAUGCAGCGACGCCGCGUGAGGGAUGACGGCCUUCGGGUUGUAAACCUCUUUCAGUAGGGAAGAAGCCGCNAGGUGACGGUACCUGCAGAAGAAGCGCCGGCUAACUACGUGCCAGCAGCCGCGGUAAUACGUAGGGCGCAAGCGUUAUCCGGAAUUAUUGGGCGUAAAGAGCUCGUAGGCGGUUUGUCGCGUCUGCUGUGAAAGACCGGGGCUCAACUCCGGUUCUGC
RNAcentral lists this ribosomal RNA (534 nucleotides) under Arthrobacter sp. AL20. Its description in RNAcentral is "bacterial SSU rRNA". It matches the Rfam family "Bacterial small subunit ribosomal RNA", at positions 78 to 624 of the family's 1533-position model. The record is from RNAcentral. Lineage: Bacteria; Bacillati; Actinomycetota; Actinomycetes; Micrococcales; Micrococcaceae.